GACGAACGCUGGCGGCGCGCUUAACACAUGCAAGUCGAGCGAUGAAAUCUUAACAGAACCCUUCGGGGUGAAGAUAAGACGGAUUAGCGGCGGACGGGUGAGUAACACGUGAGUAACCUGCCUUUUACACAGGGAUAGCCUCAGGAAACCGGGAUUAAAACCUGAUGAAACUAUCAAAUCACAUGAUUAAGAAAGUUAAAACUCCGGUGGUAAAAGAUGGACUCGCGUCCCAUUAGCUAGUUGGUGAAGGUAACGGCCCACCAAGGCAACGAUGGGUAGCCGGCCUGCGAGGGUGAACGGCCACAUUGGAACUGAGAAACGGUCCACACUCCUACGGGAGGCAGCAGUGGGGAAUCUUGCACAAUGGGGGAAACCCUGAUGCAGCGACGCCGCGUGAGCGAAGAAGGCCUUCGGGUCGUAAAGCUCUUUUAUAUGGGAAGAUAAUGACGGUACCAUAAGAAAAAGCCCCGGCUAACUACGUG
This 482-nucleotide ribosomal RNA is filed under the name uncultured bacterium. RNAcentral's name for it is "partial 16S ribosomal RNA". It matches the Rfam family "Bacterial small subunit ribosomal RNA", at positions 28 to 507 of the family's 1533-position model. The record is from RNAcentral.